This 493-nucleotide ribosomal RNA is filed under the name uncultured bacterium. RNAcentral's name for it is "bacterial SSU rRNA". It matches the Rfam family "Bacterial small subunit ribosomal RNA", at positions 355 to 861 of the family's 1533-position model. The record is from RNAcentral.
UGGGGAAUCUUGGACAAUGGGGGCAACCCUGAUCCAGCCAUGCCGCGUGAGUGAUGAAGGCCUUAGGGUCGUAAAGCUCUUUCGCCUGUGAAGAUAAUGACGGUAGCAGGUAAAGAAACCCCGGCUAACUCCGUGCCAGCAGCCGCGGUAAUACGGAGGGGGUUAGCGUUGUUCGGAAUUACUGGGCGUAAAGCGCACGUAGGCGGACCAGAAAGUUGGGGGUGAAAUCCCGGGGGCUCAACCCCGGAACUGCCUCCAAAACUAUUGGUCUAGAGUUCGAGAGAGGUGAGUGGAAUUCCAAGUGUAGAGGUGAAAUUCGUAGAUAUUUGGAGGAACACCAGUGGCGAAGGCGGCUCACUGGCUCGAUACUGACGCUGAGGUGCGAAAGUGUGGGGAGCAAAACAGGAUUAGAUACCCUGGGUAGUCCACACCGUAAAACGAUGAAUGCCAGUCGUCGGGGUAGCAUGCUAUUCGGUGACACACCUAACGGAUU